AGUUAAAUUUUUCAUUCAUUUCAACCGUUAAAAACUAACGUGACUAACAGAAUAACAAGACAAUUACACAUGGCAUGCCACAUGUACUUCAUAACAAUGUACAUGACCAAUUUUAAGAGUGGAAAUAGAUGAAAUUUUUAACA
Molecule: microRNA precursor, 143 nt
Filed under: Gossypium hirsutum (cotton)
Lineage: Eukaryota; Viridiplantae; Streptophyta; Magnoliopsida; Malvales; Malvaceae
Description: MIR7502 microRNA precursor family
Rfam family: MIR7502 microRNA precursor family
Source: Rfam by way of RNAcentral